GGAAGCUUUGCUUGUUGUCGUAUUAUUUUAAAAUCAAUUGUAUUUUUUGAAAACGCUCCCUAAAGCUAUCCAAUUUCAACAGUUAAAAUAAGUAAUACCUAUCUUAGUAAUACAUAUUAAAACUAUCAAAAAUAAUUAAGCGACCUUAUUACAUUUAAAAAACCCAAAACUUCAAACGUAAAUAAAAGGAUGUCCAGUUCACCAGAAGAAAACCAAACUUUCAGAACGGGUGGCCACUUCGAAUUCCCUCACAGCUUCAAGCCCACUAUAGUUAAGGAUUUCCUGCGUGGAUGAAAAUAAAAGGGGUGAGUUUAAGAAAACUCAGUGUGUAAAGAAAACCUAUUCAAAGCCCAAGUCAGCUCAAGCCUAUUGGGCCUAAGCCCAUUUAGGUAACAGUGGUACUGGACCAGAGCCCUUUUCAGAUUACAAUAAACUGGGCCUUAGCCCCUUAUUCAGAUAACAGUAUGGCCCAUAGGCCCAUUUCAAAAUACAUGUAACAUCAAUAACAUAUGCAAGCCCAUUUGGGGAGACUACUCAACCCACCAACCACUACACUCCACCCGUACCAGCCAUACACUCCAUGUGGGGAAUAGCUCAACCCACCUAACCCAACACUCCACAGUUGCAGCCUUGCUGCUCAGUUAGCAGUAAAUUGAGGCAAAGCCUCCAGUACGUGGACAAGCCACUUUCAGUACUUCCUCCGUCAAUAUCUCAAUCCCAUGCAUCAGAUAAUAACAUGGCAUGCAGUAAAUAACAACAGCCAAACAUGCAUUUAGGUCAAUUUAACCCUAGGGGUAUUUCGGUAAUUUAUCUACUAGGGGUAAAACUGUAAAUUUUCCAUUUUUAAAGGUAUUUUAGUAAUUUAUCUAUUUUAGAGUUUUUCAUGCAUAUUCCUACUUUUCACGUACUAACAGAAUCACGUACCGAGUGUUCUUACCGAAUUGGGCCUGUUGGCCCAUCAUUUCAAUUUUGGCCCAUUAAGCCCAGAAAUAUCGAGGGCACAGAAAUAAUACAUUUCACAGUCCAAAUUUUGUAGCUUACCAAAAACAUUAAUCGAUUUACCUCACGAGCAUUUGCAUACUCGUAAAUUUACAAAAUACUAGUUUUCAGCAUUUUGAUUUGUCAACUUUUGUCGAUCCAGACUAAGAAAGAGGGUGUUAGUUACAUACUUGUUUGCGACGAUAUGCUGAUGAGAUCUACACACGAACCGCCUACAAUUGGAUUACUAACACGUUAAUCUAACUAUUCAAAUACAAACUACGUAUUAACCCCUUACAAUAUUCGGCCAACCACACCUACAGAUCAUAGUAAGCUUAUAAGAAAUCAAUAAGCAACUCAUUAACAAAUUUUUGUCAAUGUUAACCACAUAAUCAUAAUUUCACUGCAAGCUGUCUUCUUGAGAAAUAGUCACUAAAUCAUUUAUAACUGGUGCUACAAAACUCCAAAUCAAGUGCCGUUAAUUUUCCCUGAAAAUACUCAUAUAUCUUAUAUCCAUAAAAUUUUCAGAAUUUUUGGUUUGAUCAAUCAAUACCAGAUAUUUCUCAAAGUUUCGCAUGUUUCACUGUUUGACUAAUCUGACCACUCUUCAUUACGAAUCAAAUUUUUCAUUGUACAGAAUUCAAAAUAUGUUCUCGUUUAUUUCAUUUGAAACUAGAUGCAAUAAGCUUUAAUUACAUAAUUUAUUCAGCUUCUAAUUCAUCUCCCACAAUUUAUGGUGAUUUUCCAAAGUCACGUUACUGCUACUGUCCCAAGCAGAUUUAUUACCAAAUUCACUCUUUCACACAUAACAUGUAUAUCACCAAUCAAUCAUCACAUAUCUAUGAUUUUACUUAAGUAUAAUCUCAAUUUCAUCAUUUUAAAGCACAUGUUAGCCGAUAUUUCCCCUUAGCAUCUAAGGCACAUACAUGCUCAUUUGUUUGGCUCAACUUCACCUAUCUUUCAUUUUUUAUCAAAAGAACAUGAAACAACAACCAUUUCCUUCGUUUUAAUUCAUGACUAAAUGCUCACAAUACAACUAAAAACUAAAAUAUGCUUCAAGAGUUAAGGUAGAAUCAAGAACUCAUGAACCUCAAAAUAAAAAUAAACUACCAUGAACUUACCUUCAAUUUUUCUUCCCCAAGUGACCGAACAUUCAAGAGCUUUCUCUUCUCCUUUCUCUUCUCCAACUUUAGGCUAUAAUGAACAAAGAUGGACAAAACUUUAUUCUUUUCACCCCUUUUUCUUUUAAUAAAAUUUAAUAUUUCAUUUAUUUAAUUCUUUAAUACAAAAGAUAUGAAAUUUCCAUCAUGAAAUAUUUAUUUAACCCAUUAUCAUGAAACAUUUACCUAACCCAUUAUCAUGGAACAUUUACCUAACCCAUUAUCAAUUUGUACCAUGAAUUAUAGAUAUCAAGUGUUCAUAUUGUCUACAACAACAUGAUGGCUGACUACUUCAUAUAAAAUGAGAGGUUUGUCAUGCAAAUCCUUCUAUUUUACACUAUUAUUUAUUUGGCCACUUCAAUUUAGCCUAUAGCAUUUUCAAACAUUUUUACAUAGGUCCUAUUUCAUAAUUUCACUCACAAAUGACAAAAUUAAAACAUAAAAUUUUGUCAACAUUCACAGAAUUCCCGAAAAUUGAAACGUUAAAGCAAACGAAAGAAAAAAUCUUUUCAAAAUCUUAAAGAUAGGAUCUAUUCGAGAAUUGAAGGACGGAGCUCCAGGUUACUAUCACAAGAAAGAAAGGAGGUCUUCAUUAAAUCAAUGCUUCAGGCAAUACCAACCUACGCUAUGUCAUUUUCUCUUUUACUGAAAUCAUUAUGUGAGGAGUUAGAAAAUAUUUUUUGCUAAAUUUUGGUGGCAAAAUGGCUAUGGAAAAAAAAAUACAUUGGUGUCAGUGGAAGCAUGUGUCAUCCUAAAGAAGAGGGAGGGAUAGGUUUCAGAAGUAUAAAUCAAUUUAAUAUAUCAUUAUUAGCAAAGCAAGAUGGAGGAUUUUAAAUACCCCAAACUCUUUAGUUGCGUAAGUACUUAAAGCGAAAUAAUUUCCGAAUGAGGAUUUUUUGAAUUCGCGUUUGGGAAACAAUAGUUCUUAUAUAUGGAAAAGUAUAUGGGCGACAAAGGGCAUCUUGGCAGAAGGACUUUGCUGGAAGGUGGGUAAGGGCACGAAUAUUUCAGUUAUUAAUGAUGCUUGGAUUCCAGAUGCAAGAAAUUUCAGAUUAUCGUCGUUUGCUCAUAAUAUGUGAAAUUAUAAAGUUGCUGAGCUAAUUGAUAAUAAUGACAGAAAAUGGAAGCGGGAGUUGAUUGUCAAUACCUUUCCGGAGGAAGAAGCUGAAAAGAUCUUUCGUAUUCCUUUGGAGAAAGAACCUCAUGACGAUUUUUUGGUCUAGAGCGGUGAACCUUCAGGAGAAUACUCGGUUCGAACACCUAUAAACUAUUACAAAUUUCUGAAGAUCCUAGAGCUUAUGCUUUGCAAACCGACUACAGGAAGUUUUACAAAAAAACUCUAGCUCCUAAAUCUACCUUCAAAAAUUAAGAUUAGCGUCUGGAAAAUAUCAUGGAAUUAUUUGCCUACACGGGUUAACGUGCAGCAAAGGAGGCUAACAAAUAUUGUAAUUUGUCCUCGGUGUGGAAAAUGGGCAGAAACUAUGGAUCACCUUUUUCGCGAAUGUCCUGUUUUAGUGUAAGUUUGGACAGAAUUAUCAAUCCCGAAUUUUUUACAGGAAUCUAAUUUGGAGUUUCUACAGUGGCUCACCUGGGUUUUUACUCAGAACACUCCCUCUCAAUGUAGAAUAUUUUUUUGUGCGCUAUGGGCCAUUUAGGGAGAAAGGAACGCUAGAAUGCAUGAGAAGGUAAGCAGAACUGGGAAAGAAAUAGCUAGCUUUGUCAAUAGUUAUAUUACAAAACUAAAUGGGGUUGAAUAAAGAACCCCCAAAAUUUCGCAGGAAGUUAGAAAAUGGAAUUACCCACCUGGUCAGUAAAUAAAAUCAACUUUGAUGGAGCAUACGAUGGGCAACAUUUUCAAUUGGUUUCGGAGAUUGUGGCUAGAAAUAGCGAAGGGAAUGUUCUUCUAUCUUGUUCAGAAAUUCAUCAAGAAGUGGCCUCCGCCUUCACUCUGAAGCACUCGCUUGUCGCGAAGUAGCCCAAAUGGGAAUAUACAUGCGAUGGCCAAAGAUUGUUAUAGAAGGCGACUCAUUAUCAAUAAUGAAAAAGUGCAAGGCAGAAAAACAAGAUAAAUUGUAGGUAGGAGCAUAUAUACAUGAUAUUCAACAAAUAACAUCUAGAUCUAGAAACUUAGUGUUUGAAUAUAUUCCAAGAUCAGCAAAUGGUUUAGCACAUAUACUAGCAACUGAAUCGUUAAAAAAGGAGGAGGUGUACUUGUUAGAAAGCAUCCCUGGAUAUGCUAAAAACCAGAAAGAAUUUGAUAGAGUGCGAGAACCAGAUUGAAAACGGAUAGAGAAAAAAAGGAAGGAAGGAAAGUUUCAAAUGAGCAGAUCAAUGGUUUUGGUGAUAAAAGCUUUCGUUGGAAAACUUUAACCGUCUUUAAGAAGAAAUGGGAGAUUGAUAGACAAGACGGGCAUCAGUGUUCUUUGAUUGGGCAAAGUUGCGGUGAUAAUUAUGAGCUUCUAGACUAUUCUUAUUUUAUUUUCUUUUUAGAAAUUCUUUUUAAUUCGGGCCAUUUUUUAAUGUUGGGCCUUCUCUUCUGUUUUAGUUCUAUU
This 4690-nucleotide long non-coding RNA is filed under the name Gossypium barbadense (sea-island cotton). RNAcentral describes it as "long non-coding RNA (GBAR_LNC009035)". Lineage: Eukaryota; Viridiplantae; Streptophyta; Magnoliopsida; Malvales; Malvaceae. The record is from RNAcentral.